Molecule: transfer RNA, 88 nt
Filed under: Bacillota bacterium
Lineage: Bacteria; Bacillati; Bacillota
Description: tRNA-Leu
Rfam family: tRNA
About the family: Transfer RNA (tRNA) molecules are approximately 80 nucleotides in length. Their secondary structure includes four short double-helical elements and three loops (D, anti-codon, and T loops). Further hydrogen bonds mediate the characteristic L-shaped molecular structure. tRNAs have two regions of fundamental functional importance: the anti-codon, which is responsible for specific mRNA codon recognition, and the 3' end, to which the tRNAs corresponding amino acid is attached (by aminoacyl-tRNA synthetases). tRNAs cope with the degeneracy of the genetic code in two manners: having more than one tRNA (with a specific anti-codon) for a particular amino acid; and 'wobble' base-pairing, i.e. permitting non-standard base-pairing at the 3rd anti-codon position.
Source: RNAcentral
GCCGAAGUGGCGGAAUUGGCAGACGCGCACGACUCAAAAUCGUGUGUGGUGAUCCCACGUGCCGGUUCAAGUCCGGCCUUCGGCACCA